UAGUCUUGUCAGGGUAACGCUUUGCAAGUUCCCAUGUGAAAGCAAUCCUGAUGUGAACAGUUUAUUCAUAACAAUCAAUUCCUGGGUGAAAAACAACUAACACCUGCAUAAACAUUAAAUCUAUCCCACAAGAACCGGUGAAGAAAAUAUGUAAACAAUUCAAGAGUAGAAAGAUUUGAUAGACAAGUAAAAUACUUUUAACUAACCAAUAAAGUAAUUGGCAAGAAAGCUACUAACCAACUGGAGUCACACACGAGGUCUCUAAAACUGUAUAAAAAUGAGUUACGUGAAGGAAGAAUGGGGUUUUGCCACCAUGAAGAAAAUGGAGUCUUGUGUGAUUUAUUCCGAUACUCUCUUCCCAAAAUGGACACAGGAACCAGAGCAUGAGAAUCAGCUCUGCAGAAACCUCUCUUAGAACAGACUCCUGAAAGCCCCAGAAUUGCUUUGCAGGGCCUGGCAUGAAACGUGGCACUAAAGCGAAGACUCUGUGUUCCCAUUAGUACUAAACAUAUUGUGAUCAACAGAAGAAAAGAGAUCCUGGGGUGAGCAUGAACCUCCUGCAGAACUUCUAGCAGUGACUGCUUUGUGUUGUCACCUGGCAACUCAUGGAACUCACCUGGGGGUGGAUCCUGCACAAAGGAGCAAGGAACUCGAAUGCAGACUUCCACAGAAAUACCAGAACAAGCUAAUGCUACAGAGAUGCAUAGAACACACAGACAGUUUAUUUUCUGGAACCUUUACUCUGACAUUAACAAAAAAUUUCUCAAAUAAGCUCAGCUGGGUUUAAGCCUUUCCAGCCACACAGCAGAAUAGAAGCACAGUUCUGGAAAUCUCAUACCUGAAGCAUGACAUCCAUCAGAUCUCCUGAGAAAUCCCAGUGGCAGCCAGGCACGGGAGGCGAAAUUUCCUCCUCAGAUCCUCAUGGAAACAGCUGAGUUGGGCAUUCAGAGCAUGGAGAGGGAGCAGAUUCCCCCAAAGUCAGGCUGACAUCAAGCCUUUUAAUUCUACCCGUGACUGUGCUUAAAGAGACCCACAGGGAAGGCAGCUCACUAAAAGCAGGGAGCAGCUGCCUUCCUGCCUUCAUUAAAGGGAGGAUAUUUUCCAUGAGGGAGGGAGGAAGGUGAAGAAAAGCUUGAUGAAGAAAGGAAUGGGAGACAAAUUCAAUUCCACGUCAAACUGGGAGAAGAGAACAGUGAGGACCCACUCUAGGCUGGGAAUUUCAAGGAUCCAACUAUCACGUGCAAACAGAGCAGGCUGUAACAAUGCUGUGAUGUUCCGUAUACUUGGGUAAACAGCUGGAGUGAGGGGAACCAUACUGGAGAUAAGGGAUUCUGUGUAUCCUUUGGCAAACUCAACCCUUUCAGAAUUUUUAAAAAGUCUAUUUAUCUCUAGGUGGGUGCAUAUCCCAGCCCUAAUAGUUCUCAGCUCUCUAAAGCUGUAGAACUGGUCACCCCUUGAGGUUAACUGUGCAAAACACAACAGCUGUACUUCAACAGUUGUGGAGCAUGGAUCUGUGCUCCUACAGACCUUUAAUAUUGCAGCAAGCUCUGGCAGCACCCAAACUUUCACAGUGAAGUGGAUGUUGCCAAAAUCUACACAUGCAGUGUAACCUAUGAAGUGAUAUUAAUUAAUGCUGGCUCAAAAUCCAAUCCAAUUGCUUUAAAUAUUUGUAAUGUUAGUGAUGUUAAUGGUAAAAUCAAGUGCUUUUUUGACACAAAAUUCAGGAACUAAAGAAUGGCUCUUUGCUCAGCUGUUUCCUAAGCUGGGUGAAUUAUUUAUUUUUUAUUAAAUAAUCUAUUUUCUCCUUUAUGGUUUCCCAACUAUGAUGGAGAAGACACUUCACAACACUGGCACAAGGACUACGUUAACAUUCACUCCAAUUGCUGUAAACAACUUAGAGGAACUAUUCUCUAAGAUUGUUUCCCUUGGAAGCAACAGUGGGCUACACCUAAUGAGCUUUUGGAUUUGGAUAGCAACAAAAUAAUGAAAUCAAGUAAAAUCCAUCUUCAGCUAAACAACAGCAAACCACUAUUAUGGCUGAACAACUAUUCAGAAUGCUGCUGACAAUGCAGGAGAUUUGACUAGGUCAAGAGGACAUUUCAGUGUAUAAUCACACAAGCCUGCAAAACUGCCUGAGGUUUCCCAGGCACCAUGGACAUUCAAGCCAGUUGUGAGAGGAAAAGCAUUUCUCUUUUUAAGAUACAACAGGAUGAAGGCAACCUGGAGGUUUUGUCUUUUCUAUAGAUCUGAUGACAGAUCCUUCUCAAACCAGCAAUCAAAAAUGACAUCAUUAAAUUAUUAGAGGACAAAGUUGCCAACAUGAAGGUUGAUUUGAAAAUUCUGUUUUUAAAAAGAAUGGUCCAAAUCAGGCAAUUGGGUUUUCUAGCAUGGAGUUUGGUGUUCUGAACAAUGUAAUUUUCCUUCCCAAAGUGAAUAAAAAUGUCAAGGGCCUCACAUUUGAGAGGGAAAAAUGGCAACUGUAAAGCACUGAGAAAAGUUCUGUCACACCAGCUACCUUGAAAGGAAAUUCAUAUAGAAUACACAAAAAUGGGAAUAGACACAAAUAUGGGAACAAGCUGAAUUUCAUGGCAGCAUUACAUUGGUCUGAGGUUAUUUAAUGAAAAGAGGAAGGUCUGCGAGAUGAAGGUCUAAUUAUUGAAGAGAGUGCAAGAAACUGCAAACUUGAAAGUGAAUGAAUAGGACUGCAGGGAAGAAAAGAAGAAAGAAUCCAAACCAUUGAGCUAUUUCAGGGAACACUCCAACAUUUCUUUAGUGAGGCUACAAAGGGAUGUUUGGAAAUAGAGUGCUGGGCACCUACUUAAACCAGCCUAAGUGGGAAUAAUAUCAAUUAAAAUAGAAGUUCAUCAUUUUAGCAAGAAGAUAACAGAAUACAACAAUAGAAUUACUGAAAAGAAAAUGUCUCUUUCAAAAUAUUUGAGAGCACAGACAACAGAAAAUGAAAUGUUGAUGGAUGUGUGCCUGCUCUGGAUAUAUGGGAAGGAUCACCAAGGUCCUGAAUGUGUGGGAAUCCAGAAAACCCACCUGACAUUUAGAUGUGUCAGCAGUUACAUCAACAACUCUGCAAAUAAGACC
Molecule: long non-coding RNA, 3093 nt
Organism: Passer domesticus (house sparrow)
Lineage: Eukaryota; Metazoa; Chordata; Aves; Passeriformes; Passeridae
Exons: 7
Source: RefSeq, a predicted model, not a curated record